GAUGAACGCUAGCUACAGGCUUAACACAUGCAAGUCGAGGGGCAGCAUGGGAGUUGCUUGCAAUUCCCGAUGGCGACCGGCGCACGGGUGAGUAACGCGUAUCCAACCUACCCAUAAAUAGGGAAUAGCCCGGUGAAAAUCGGAUUAAUGCCCUAUGUGUUCCAAAGAAGACAUCUGAUUUGGAGUAAAGAUUCAUCGUUUAUGGAUGGGGAUGCGUCUGAUUAGGUAGUCGGUAGGGUAACGGCCUACCGAGCCGACGAUCAGUAGGGGUUCUGAGAGGAAGGUCCCCCACACUGGAACUGAGACACGGUCCAGACUCCUACGGGAGGCAGCAGUGAGGAAUAUUGGUCAAUGGGCGGGAGCCUGAACCAGCCAAGUAGCGUGCAGGAUGACGGCCCUACGGGUUGUAAACUGCUUUUAUGCGGGGAUAAAAGGAGAUCACGUGUGGUCUUUUUGCAGGUACCGCAUGAAUAAGGACCGGCUAAUUCCGUGCCAGCAGCCGCGGUAAUACGGAAGGUCCGGGCGUUAUCCGGAUUUAUUGGGUUUAAAGGGAGCGCAGGCGGCAUCAUAAGCGUGUUGUGAAAUGUGGAGGCUCAACCUUCAGACUGCAGCGCGAACUGUGGUACUUGAGUGCGCUGAAAGUGGGCGGAAUUCGUGGUGUAGCGGUGAAAUGCUUAGAUAUCACGAAGAACUCCGAUUGCGAAGGCAGCUCACUGUAGCGUUACUGACGCUCAUGCUCGAAAGUGCGGGUAUCGAACAGGAUUAGAUACCCUGGUAGUCCGCACGGUAAACGAUGGAUGCCCGUUGUUCGACCGUAAGGUUGAGCGACCAAGCGAAAGCAUUAAGCAUCCCACCUGGGGAGUACGCCGGCAACGGUGAAACUCAAAGGAAUUGACGGGGGCCCGCACAAGCGGAGGAACAUGUGGUUUAAUUCGAUGAUACGCGAGGAACCUUACCCGGGCUUGAAUUGCAGUGGAAGGAUACAGAGAUGUUGACGCCCUUCGGGGCCGCUGUGAAGGUGCUGCAUGGUUGUCGUCAGCUCGUGCCGUGAGGUGUCGGCUUAAGUGCUAUAACGAGCGCAACCCUUUUCUUCAGUUGCCAUCAGGUGAAGCUGGGCACUCCGGAGACACUGCCACCGUAAGGUGUGAGGAAGGUGGGGAUGACGUCAAAUCAGCACGGCCCUUACGUCCGGGGCUACACACGUGUUACAAUGGGGUAUACAGAGCGUCGGCUUGCCGCAAGGAGAGUCUAAUCGUGAAAGUGCCUCCCAGUUCGGAUUGGGGUCUGCAACCCGACCCCAUGAAGCUGGAUUCGCUAGUAAUCGCGCAUCAGCCAUGGCGCGGUGAAUACGUUCCCGGGCCUUGUACACACCGCCCGUCAAGCCAUGAAAGUCGGGGGCGCCUAAAGUCCGUGACCGCGAGGGUCGGCCUAGGGUGAAACCGAUGAUUGGGGC
Molecule: ribosomal RNA, 1453 nt
Filed under: uncultured rumen bacterium
Lineage: Bacteria
Description: 16S ribosomal RNA
Rfam family: Bacterial small subunit ribosomal RNA
Source: RNAcentral